Molecule: ribosomal RNA, 497 nt
Filed under: uncultured bacterium
Lineage: Bacteria
Description: partial 16S ribosomal RNA
Rfam family: Bacterial small subunit ribosomal RNA
Source: RNAcentral
GAUGAACGCUGGCGGCGUGCCUAAUACAUGCAAGUCGAGCGAACAGACGAGGAGCUUGCUCCUCUGACGUUAGCGGCGGACGGGUGAGUAACACGUGGAUAACCUACCUAUAAGGCUGGGAUAACUUCGGGAAACCGGAGCUAAUACCGGAUAAUAUAUUGAACCGCAGGGUUCAAUAGUGAAAGACGGUUUUGCUGUCACUUAUAGAUGGAUCCGCGCCGCAUUAGCUAGUUGGUAAGGUAACGGCUUACCAAGGCAACGAUGCGUAGCCGACCUGAGAGGGUGAUCGGCCACACUGGAACUGAGACACGGUCCAGACUCCUACGGGAGGCAGCAGUAGGGAAUCUUCCGCAAUGGGCGAAAGCCUGACGGAGCAACGCCGCGUGAGUGAUGAAGGUCUUCGGAUCGUAAAACUCUGUUAUUAGGGAAGAACAAAUGUGUAAGUAACUAUGCACGUCUUGACGGUACCUAAUCAGAAAGCCACGGCUAACUACGUG